AUUAAACGCUGGCGGCAUGCCUUACACAUGCAAGUCGAACGGCAGCACGGGGGCAACCCUGGUGGCGAGUGGCGGACGGGUGAGUAAAGCAUCGGAACGUAUCCUGGAGUGGGGGAUAACGUAGCGAAAGUUACGCUAAUACCGCAUAUUCUGUGAGCAGGAAAGCAGGGGAUCGCAAGACCUUGCGCUCUGGGAGCGGCCGAUGUCGGAUUAGCUAGUUGGUGGGUAAAGGCCUACCAAGGCGACGAUCCGUAGCGGGUCUGAGAGGAUGAUCCGCCACACUGGGACUGAGACACGGCCCAGACUCCUACGGGAGGCAGCAGUGGGGAAUUUGGACAAUGGGCGGAAGCCUGAUCCAGCCAUGCCGCGUGAGUGAAGAAGGCCUCGG
Molecule: ribosomal RNA, 388 nt
Filed under: uncultured bacterium
Lineage: Bacteria
Description: bacterial SSU rRNA
Rfam family: Bacterial small subunit ribosomal RNA
Source: RNAcentral